RNAcentral lists this ribosomal RNA (207 nucleotides) under uncultured bacterium. RNAcentral describes it as "partial 16S ribosomal RNA". It matches the Rfam family "Bacterial small subunit ribosomal RNA", at positions 1294 to 1500 of the family's 1533-position model. The record is from RNAcentral.
CGGAUUGCAGUCUGCAACUCGACUGCAUGAAGCUGGAAUCGCUAGUAAUCGCGAAUCAGAAUGUCGCGGGGAAUACGUUCCCGGGCCUUGUACACACCGCCCGUCACACCAUGGGAGUUGGAAGCACCCGAAGUCGGUGACCUGACCGAAAGGGAGGAGCCGCCGAAGGUGAAGCCAGCGACUGGGGUGAAGUCGUAACAAGGUAGC